Non-coding RNA from Schistosoma mansoni, 48 nucleotides. The record is from Rfam. NCBI's taxonomy places the organism in Eukaryota, Metazoa, Platyhelminthes, Trematoda, Strigeidida, Schistosomatidae.
AUCCGGCUGACGAGUCUUAAAUAAGACGAAAUGCGCGUCAAACUGGAU